RNAcentral lists this ribosomal RNA (461 nucleotides) under uncultured ammonia-oxidizing beta proteobacterium. Its description in RNAcentral is "bacterial SSU rRNA". It matches the Rfam family "Bacterial small subunit ribosomal RNA", at positions 202 to 645 of the family's 1533-position model. The record is from RNAcentral. Lineage: Bacteria; Pseudomonadati; Pseudomonadota; Betaproteobacteria.
AAAGCAGGGGAUCGCAAGACCUUGCGCUUUUGGAGUGGCCGAUGCCUGAUUAGCUAGUUGGUGGGGUAAUGGCCUACCAAGGCGACGAUCAGUAGUUGGUCUGAGAGGACGACCAGCCACACUGGGACUGAGACACGGCCCAGACUCCUACGGGAGGCAGCAGUGGGGAAUUUUGGACAAUGGGCGAAAGCCUGAUCCAGCAAUGCCGCGUGAGUGAAGAAGGCCUUCGGGUUGUAAAGCUCUUUCAGUCGAGAAGAAAAGGUUGUGACUAAUAAUCACAACUCAUGACGGUAUCGACAGAAGAAGCACCGGCUAACUACGUGCCAGCAGCCGCGGUAAUACGUAGGGUGCGAGCGUUAAUCGGAAUUACUGGGCGUAAAGGGUGCGCAGGCGGCUUUGUAAGUCAGAUGUGAAAUCCCCGGGCUUAACCUGGGAAUUGCGUUUGAAACUACAAAGCUAGA